Molecule: ribosomal RNA, 253 nt
Filed under: uncultured bacterium
Lineage: Bacteria
Description: partial 16S ribosomal RNA
Rfam family: Bacterial small subunit ribosomal RNA
Source: RNAcentral
UACGGAGGGUGCAAGCGUUAUCCGGAUUCACUGGGUUUAAAGGGUGCGUAGGUGGGCCUGUAAGUCAGCGGUGAAAUCUCCGGGCUUAACCCGGAAACUGCCAUUGAUACUAUAGGUCUUGAAUUAUCUGGAGGUAAGCGGAAUAUGUCAUGUAGCGGUGAAAUGCUUAGAUAUGACAUAGAACACCGAUUGCGAAGGCAGCUGGCUACAGGAAUAUUGACACUGAGGCACGAAAGCGUGGGGAUCAAACAGG